UGGUGCAGUGGUUAAAGCACUCGGCUGGUAACCGAAAGGUUGGUGGUUCGAACCCACC
Loxodonta africana (African savanna elephant) is the source of this 58-nucleotide non-coding RNA. The record is from Rfam. Lineage: Eukaryota; Metazoa; Chordata; Mammalia; Proboscidea; Elephantidae.